Molecule: ribosomal RNA, 677 nt
Filed under: uncultured fungus
Lineage: Eukaryota; Fungi
Description: eukaryotic LSU rRNA
Rfam family: 5.8S ribosomal RNA (bases 263-417)
Source: RNAcentral
CUUGGUCAUUUAGAGGAGUAAAAGUCGUAACAAGGUUUCCGUAGGUGAACCUGCGGAAGGAUCAUUAUCGAAAUUAUUGGUGAGGGUUGUAGCUGGCCUUUCGAGGCAUGUGCACGCUCGAGCCCUUAAUCCACUUUACACCUGUGCACUUAAUGUAGGUCGCCCUUAAAAAAGGUGACCUAUGUCUUAUCAUCAACCCAUCGUAUGUCUCAUAGAAUGUAAUCGAUAUCCUCGCCCUGAAAAAGCGUUGAUAAACUUAUACAACUUUCAACAACGGAUCUCUUGGCUCUCGCAUCGAUGAAGAACGCAGCGAAAUGCGAUAAGUAAUGUGAAUUGCAGAUUUUCAGUGAAUCAUCGAAUCUUUGAACGCACCUUGCGCUCCUUGGUAUUCCGAGGAGCAUGCCUGUUUGAGUGUCAUUAAAUUCUCAACUCCAAGGGUUUCACGACCUUUCGGAGAUUGGACUUGGAGGUGCUGGCCGCAUAUUGGUCGGCUCCUCUCAAAUGCAUCAGCGGAAUUCAACCUUUGGCUUCCGGAUGUCAGUGUGAUAAUCAUGUUGCGCUGUCGUUUGAUCCCUCAGAGUCCGCUUAUAAUGGUCUUCGGACAAAAUCAUCAUCAAAUUUGACCUCAAAUCAGGUAGGACUACCCGCUGAACUUAAGCAUAUCAAUAAGCGGAGGA